UAACUUUAUAAUCCAUUCCUCUCCACCUUUAUCUAGCACAUUUUCUGAAAUAGAAAAGUAUUAGCUUUGCCCUUAAGGAGCUAGAUCUGUAAUGCUUCAGUUUGUUGAAUUAAUGACUAUAAAUAUAAGGCAGGCAAGAACAACUUGCGAAGAUGCUCUGACCCAAAGGUAAGGAAGCUGAAGUUCACGCAUAUUAGAAGCAUAGAAUAGGAUCUGAAAUUUCCUGGAAAGUUGUCACCUCCAUUGAUAAUCCACUAAUGAGCCCAGGUCAUUUUUUAUGGUUCUGUCCAGCUUCAGGAUCUCACAACUCUGAUUAAGCAAUGCAGUUGCUUAGAAUGGAGGGGAAUAUUUGAUCAUAACACUGGUCAAGCAUGAACAUCCCCACACUGGCCAACUGGAAAUGUGUGAGUGCUCACUAAAGAAAAGGCUUUAACUCUUUAACUCUUUCUAACCCCACAUCAGAUUUCUCAGCAGAUCCUCACAUCUCUUUCUUGUAAAUAUACCCAGAACUGGGCCAUAUUUUCACCUUUUCUCCUGCAAACACUGAUCAGUGUCUCCAUUACCUUUUUCUGGAAUUAUCACAAUAACCUUCUAACUGGACUCCCUUCAUCCCUGGCAUCCCCCUAAAGACAUACACACAUACAUACACACAUACAUACAUACACACACAAACACACAGAGACCCACACACAGACAUACACACACAUAAUUGGUAUUAGGGCAGACAAACUGAUUUUAUGAAAAUACAGUCUCUAUUUGAAAUCUUCCAAUAGCUCUGCACCUCACUCAGAAUAAAAGUCAAUGUCAUUAUCAUGAUCACAGGCCCCCCAUUACUUCAAGAAGCUCAUAUCCUGUUACGCUUUCUCAUGCUCAUUCUGCUGUAGUCAGAACAAUGGCAAGCUGUCUGUUUAUUGAACAUACUAGGUGAGUUCCUAUCUCAAGGCAUUUGUACUGUGGUUUCCUCUGUCUGGAAUGUUCUUUCCCAGAUAUCUGCAUGGGUCACUUCUUCAGUUCUUUCAGACCUUUUAUUCUGCCAUCACCAUCUCAGUGAAGUCUUCCUUGUCCAUCUUAUCUAAAAUUUUAAUUCUAAGAUUUAACCUAAGAAUACUUUUUAUUCCCUUUUUGAGUUCUAUUUUUUAUUCUUUUUGAGACAGUGUCACUCUGUCGCCCAGGCUGGAGCGCAGUGGCAUGAUCUUGGCUCACUGCAAGCUCCACCUCCUGGGUUCACGCCAUUCUCCUGCCUUAGCCUCCCGUUUUUGUGCUCUAUUUUACAUCUUCAGUACCUAACAUUAUUUAUUCUAGUAUAUAUUUUACUUAUGUAUCUUAUUUACUGUCUAUCUCAUCAACUAGACUAAUGAAAGCUCUAUCAGGAUAGAACAGUGCCCAGUUCCAGGUGCUCAGGAAUUACUGGAAUUGAAAAUUAUCUAUUAUAUGAUUAUCACCUCACCAUUUAACCUUAGAAUUUCUUAGUUUGUGUUGUGAGUGUGAUAAAAUAGGAAUUUUCUUUCCAAGAACUCAAAAAAGUAGAAUGGAUCACUGAAAGCUUGGGAAGAUUGGAUUUUGUAAUCAAGCCUGUUCAUGUCAUAAACCUCUGACUUCAGCAAUCAGGGUGCAAAUGCUGUAAUAAACUCUAACAUCAUUUUAGUCCAGUCUUAUAUUAAAAAAAAAAUGAGGCUCAGAGCAAAGAAGUCACUUGCUAAAGAUCACCUAAAGUGAGUGGCAUUUGCUGAUGUAGAACUUGAUCUCCUCAAUUGCAGUGAGGUGCUCUGUCAACUAAGCCUUUCUUAGUCUUUUGUUUAUAAGCUAAUAUUUUUGGUC
Molecule: long non-coding RNA, 1818 nt
Filed under: Pan troglodytes (chimpanzee)
Lineage: Eukaryota; Metazoa; Chordata; Mammalia; Primates; Hominidae
Description: long non-coding RNA NONPTRT013787
Source: RNAcentral